Long non-coding RNA from Bos taurus (domestic cattle), 2379 nucleotides. Lineage: Eukaryota; Metazoa; Chordata; Mammalia; Artiodactyla; Bovidae. The record is from Ensembl.
GACGUGCGCGCACUGCGCAUGUGCGGAGGCAGUUCUUGCUGGGGGCGAGCUGGGGACUUUGAGUUGGGGCGGAAUCAGCCUGAGAACCUGGCUCCAGCCGACCCCCACUCCGCCGCUACCUAGGGAGGCUGACAUUUUCUUUAACCUCGUAGACUACAAGUAUGCUGGCAUCUCUCCCAAAUGAAAGGCAAGACAGAGAACGCCACUCCACCCCACACCUUCCAGCCACCGCAACAUUUCUCUUGCACUUCAUAGGUAAGCUACUGGAAAAGGCGUCUGUUACCUCCAGCGCUCUGGAACUUCUCCAGUUAGAGGUUUCUCCUGAAAACACGACCGCUGGAAACACAACCUAAGGCACUUCAGUGUGAACUCAAACGUUUGUGAAAUGAAUAUCUGCAAGAGUUCUUGUUAGGAGGGAGGCAGUAUUAGGCAGCUCAGGAGUGGAUUUGGGAUGCCUCUAGGGUGUAUCCUCUCUCCUGAGAUCAGGGACGACACACCCGUAAUACAGUUUGUUUGGCUUAGUAGGUGUUCAAUAAAUGUCAGCUGUUACUUUUUUUUUUUUUUGCGAGGCCUUGCAGGAUUUUAGUUCCCUGGCCAUGGAUCGAACCUGGACCCUGGCAGUGAAAGCACUGAAUCCUAACUACUGGGCUGCUAGAGAAUUCCCUCCUUAGCUGUUAUCUUAGUCAGAAUAUCUUAUUAACAGGAUGCUUUUUUCAGUCUCCCCAUCCCCUCCCCAGCCAUUUGUGUACCUCAGGUACACAGGUACCAUGGCAGAACAAAAGCUAGCCUAUUUCUUUAAAAAAAACCCAAUAUAUUUUGGUUUGUUUUAUUUUUGGCUGUCCUGGGUCUUCACUGCUGCACACAAACUUCCUCUAGUUGCUGCGAGUGGGGGCUACUCCCUAGUUACAGUUCAUGGGCUUCUCAUUGUGGUGGCUUCUCUUGUUGCUGAGCAUGGGCUCUAGAGUGCAUGGACUCAGUUGCCCUGUGGCAUGGGGGAUCUUAGUUCUCUGACUAGGGAUUGAACCAGCGUCCUCUUCAUUGGGAGGCGUAUGGUUCAACCUAGGCUGUGCUGAGGUGCUUUACAUGGAUUUGCACCCCUCAAAACAACCUGAUGGGGUAGACUCACAUUUUCAGUGGAGGAAGCAAACACAGAAAAUAAGGAGCUUUUCCGAAGUCACACUGGUAGGAUGAGACAGAGUUGAGAUUUGAAACUAGUUAAUUUGUUACCUAGUGGGCACAAUAAAGGACAGAAACAGCAGAGACCUAGUAGAUGCUGAAGAGAUCAAGAAGAGAUGGAAAGAAUACACUGAAAAACUGUACAAAAAAGAUCUUAAUGAACUGGAUUACUACGAUCAUGUGGUCAGUCACCCAGAGUGAACAUUCUGGAGAGUGAAGUCAGGUGGGCCUUAGGAAGCCCUGCUGUUAAUAAAGCUAGUAGAUGUGAUGGAAUUCCAGUAGAGCUAUUCAGAUCCCUAAAGAAUGAUGCUGUCAAAGUUUUGCAUUCAUUAUGCCAGCAAAUCUGGAAGACCCAGCAGUUGCCAUAGGACUGGAAAAGGUCAAACCUCAUCUCAAUUCCCAAGAAGGGUAGUACUAAAGAAUGUGCUAAUCAUCAGACAAUUGCACUCAUCUCCUAUGCUAGUAAGAUCAUGCUUAAAAUCUUGCAUGUUAGGCUUUAGCAUUAUGUGAACCAAGAAUUUCCGGAUGUCCAAGCUGGGUUUAGAAAAGGAAGAGGAACCAGAUAUCAAAUUGCCAACAUUCGCUGGAUCAUAGAGAAAGCUAGGGAAUUCCAGAAAAACAUCUACCUCUGUUUCAUCAGGGGCACUUUCCUUCUAAUGUCUAUGUUAGAAGAUUUCUCUGUCCCUUUUUAUACUUAAGUAAAACUCUGCUACACAAAAGUUCUUGAGUGAUCAAGGUUGGUCCCUGGUCCCGAAGCUAAAUCUUCAGAGAUCACAAAUCCAAUACUGUUCACCGUAAGCUAUCAUCUUACGGGCUUGCCCAGGAUCUUCAGGAUAAGGUAAGAACCCUCAGAGCUCUAGCCUCUCUGCUUUCCCAGUACACACGUUUUCUCAUUUACUAACUCUACAGUGUGCUUGUAUGAAUGAAUGACACACCCUGCGCAAAGCAAGUGAUGAGCCCUGCUCUGCGGUUUCAUGGUGCCUCAUAAUGACUGAAGGCAGCCCCCAAAAGGGGAGCAUUGUAGGGGGUUUAUGCUGACCUGCCAGUGUCAAGAGACACCCAGCGUCCUUGCAAGGGAGGCGGCCAGAAAUGGGCAAAGCAUGUGGACCAAACUUUCUUUUCUGGGUCAGCUUUUCCUGUUCUCUUUGGCUGUUUCAUAACUGAGUGGGGAAUUAGAACUACUAACCUAAUCUGUUGGAUCGC